Molecule: ribosomal RNA, 519 nt
Filed under: Vogesella indigofera
Lineage: Bacteria; Pseudomonadati; Pseudomonadota; Betaproteobacteria; Neisseriales; Chromobacteriaceae
Description: bacterial SSU rRNA
Rfam family: Bacterial small subunit ribosomal RNA
Source: RNAcentral
AACAGGAACUUNUCCGCUGCGAGUGCGAACGGGUGAGUAUGCGUCGGAACGUGCCGAGUAGUGGGGGAUAACGCAUCGAAAGGUGUGCUAAUACCGCAUACGUACUGAGGUAGAAAGUGGGGGACCUUCGGGCCUCACGCUAUUCGAGCGGCCGACGUCUGAUUAGCUAGUUGGUGAGGUAAAGGCUCACCAAGGCGACGAUCAGUAGCGGGUCUGAGAGGAUGAUCCGCCACACUGGGACUGAGACACGGCCCAGACUCCUACGGGAGGCAGCAGUGGGGAAUUUUGGACAAUGGGCGCAAGCCUGAUCCAGCCAUGCCGCGUGUCUGAAGAAGGCCUUCGGGUUGUAAAGGACUUUUGUCCGGGAGCAAAUGCCUGGUGUUAAUAGCAUCGGGAGCUGAGAGUACCGGNAAAAUAACACCGGCUACUACGUGCAGCAGCCGCGGUAAUACGUAAGGUGCAACGUUAUCGGAAUUACUGGGGCGUAAAGCUGCCAGGCGGKUUUGUAACCAANUUGAA